Helianthus annuus (common sunflower) is the source of this 622-nucleotide long non-coding RNA. RefSeq lists it as uncharacterized. The record is from RefSeq and is a predicted model, not a curated record. NCBI's taxonomy places the organism in Eukaryota, Viridiplantae, Streptophyta, Magnoliopsida, Asterales, Asteraceae. The transcript is spliced from 2 exons.
AUUUUCUCCAUUUUGAUCCAAAUCUUUCACUCUCUUCUAACACACACAUUGUCAUUAAGAGGUGAAUAGAAGAUGUGUCUUGGCACUUCCAAAGAAAACCUCUAUCAUCCUUCAUAUCUCACUGCUCACCAAUCAAGCCAUGAGUUUCACCAUCUACAAAGGAAAAGAUAUAUGGGUUUGAAAAAUUCAAGAAACAAAACAAGGGUUUUGUUUGUGAUAUUGAAAAGGAAGAUGGCAAUGAAGAACUUGAAGUUGUACAUGCAAAACCAAUGCAUGAUUGAAGAGAAUGCAAAACUUAGAAGAAAAGCCCUUCUGCUUCAUCAAGAAAACCAAAUCUUAUUUUCUCAACUCCAAAAUGUCAAAAAAUGAUAAGUAAAAACAACAUAGUUUCACCAAGAAUGUCAUAGCCUUGUGAAAUAUUUGUUUUGUAUUAUCAGAAUUUAUGUUUCACUCUUUUCAUGAAUGAAUAUUUAUAAAAGCUCAUGAACUAUCAAGGUGUUUAACAAUAAGGAGAUGUGAGCAUUGGUUAGAAUACUCUAUGCGGACCAAAUAUGAUGUAAUAUCAAAAUGGUAAAUUUGGUGCUUGUUCUUUAAGGUCUAGCUUCUUGCUAGUCCAUUUUCC